CUCUGAAUAAGGCCUCUGUUUUCUGCGUCUUUUUUUCUUCUACUAUGAAGUGGGAAUUGCGGAGCAGUCAUUUCUGAAUGAAGACAUUUCCAUUCAACAUUUUGGCUUGCCUGUAGUUCAUUGAGUGAAGAGGAAUUUUCCUUGGCCACCUAUAACAUAUAUAAUUAGAUAAUGCAUCUUUGCAAUCACCUGAGCCUGGGGAAACCUCAUAUCUCAGCAUACAUGACCUGAUUCUCAACCUCAUAGUCUACAUCCAUGCUAAGGAUCACCAGCCCCACUGUCAGCUCUGGGCACUCAGCUCAGCCUUGCUGACUCCUGUUGCCUUCUCUCCACUCUGGGAAUUGAUUUCCCUGCCAAGGCAACCCAAGAUGAUGAGGCAGAAGCUAUGGCAGCAUUGUUCUCAUCUUGCACUCUAUCUACUUCUGCUACUGUUAAACAAAUCCUUCUGAUGCUGGACCAGAGAAGAAGCCCCUGAGAUGUAAUACAAAGCUCAUUCUGCUGUACGUAUUCCUGCCUCCCCAAAGGCUGACUGGGACGUCUUCAUCCAAAGGAAAAUGUAUUUACAUGGAAGAUGAAAGUCAAGGGAUGUUUUCCAGCCACUUCAGGCACUGAGCUGCUGGUGCACGGUUUAAGAAGUUGCCCUUGAGGGCUUUUGGACCUUGUCCUCCUUUUCCUCCACUGCCAGGAAUUGCUGCAGAACAUGAACCCCCUAAUGCAAGAGGUUGGUGAAACACGAUGGGAAAUGCAGCUUUGGUGCCGUGCCUGGAUAGCAGCAAGGGUGUUAAUAAGCAUCUUUAAUACAUACAAAACUCUCCCUCAAGUUGUGUCUUUUUACUCUGCAGUGAAAAUUGCUUCUGAGGAGCUAUUAUUUGCUAUUCACUUACUGUCAUUCUUGGAUCUCAAUAACACUGCUUUUCAGCAGCCAGAUACUGCUGAAAGCCACGAGCUGGACUGCUUCUCAUAAAUGCCUUCAGCGUCUGCUCCUCGAACAAAAUUGGCAGCCCCUUUUUGGCUGAGGGCUGGCCUGCUUGUCAUCCCCAAAAGCUUCAGGUUUGAUGAUGCUGUGAGGUGUGACAAGGAGAUGGUGAUACUCAGGGACCUGGGGAGAAAAGCGACCAGAAUGGAAGUCUCUGAGAUGUGAGCUCACGUGGCUGUGAGGUUGGGAAGAUGGAAUAUGCUAUGAAGUCUGUGUGCCAUCCUCUCUGAUGUACUAAAGGGUGACAGUCAUCCUCUGGAAGAUCUCAGCCUUCAGCCUUUUGCUUCCUCAGUACGUGUGGACCAAUUGCCCAGAGUAUGGACCAGUGGCUGCAGCAGGGAAAUUCAUCUCAGCACCAGAUCCCUCAUCCCUCCUGCUGGGUAAGUCCUAAUUAAAUCCUUGCAUCAAUAUAAUUAAUUGUUAAUAUGAGAAUUACAUAUUAGUCUGCAUUAUAAUCAAUAUUGCUUAAAUAUUAACAAGCUUGUUAGCUAUUCACUAACCUUUUAAGCCCUUCCAAAUCCUCUUUAUCACGCUGCAUGUUUGUGUUAAAUCUCUCUCAAGUGACCUUAAGUGAGUAUGCUUUUACUUGCUGUUAAAUACACUGCAAACUCUCCAUCCAUUCAGCUAUUUGGCUGCUUUGGCUAUUAUCUCCCUUUCUGUUUGCACUGAUUUAACUGUAGUGGAGACAUCUCAGUGUUGAUACGAAGCCUGCCUGUGGUGCAGUGAUGGGCUGUCUUCUGCUGUGUCCUCAGUGUCUCCUUUAUUUAGUUAGGCCAGCUUCUUUGGCUGGCUGGAAGUGCCAGAAGCCCCCUGGCAGCUCCUUUGGUUCAGUAUUUGCAUCUCUGGUCUACAGGGAUUGCUGGCUGAAAGCUCCGCAGUUCACCUGCUUAAAGGCAUGCUAAUGCUUUCUGCUGCUGCCUCCUUUCUGUUAGCAUGCACUGAUGCAAGGAAGGAAGCCACCAUCUGAACACUGGGGCAGUCAGUACAUCAGUGCUGCCCGGUUGAUGGCUUUGUUCCCAGUUUGUCCAACUUCCAGUUUGAUUGGUCUGCUGGGUUUGCAGAAUUAAGCAGAUUUGGAGAAUGCUCACUGGUGAGCCCUAACAUAUUUCCCAUAAAAUAUCAUAACCAUUUAUACAGUUUGGCCAAAGCAAUUCCCUUUGCACUGUGAAUUUGUUCAAGAAAUAGAACCCCCAUGUUUCAAGCCAGCCGGCCACUGGUAAUGGGGGAUGGCACAGGGCUGCACACCCCAGACCUUGUCCUUUCUGGGUCCCAGCUGCUCUGAUAUUUCCUCUCCAAAAUCCCUGACUUCUCUCGGGGACCAUUUAGUAAGGUUCUUAACUUUAAUUUCUUGUAAACAGAGUUUGGAGAAUAAACCGUGCAAUGAAUUUAUCAUUUCUGCUCGUAGCACAUGAAUACAUAGCAUGCAGCUUUCUUGCUGGUAUUCCUGGGACCAAAUGAGAAAAGUGCUUUGGAGAGGUGGGAUUUUGCUUGUCAUGAAUAUUAAUACAAAAAAAAACCUCAGUGCCUGGAUAGUUCACGGAAUGUAAAUGCAUAAAAGGGGAAAAAGCACAUUUUUCAAACUGCAUUUCUCUGUACCUCUUUCAGUCUCCUUUUGAAGUUCUAGAAAACGUGAUGCUCUUUCAUAGCACAUUCCUCUGCAGAGCAGGGCUGUGCUGCUUUGCUCACUCCACCAUUCUCAGGGCAGCUGAUGGGACGUGGCUGUGCCCCACAGCACUCUACAAAGCUCCUCACACUAUGCUGCCACUGGUGCUGACCAGAACAUGCACAGAUGUGAUGCUCAGCACCAGGAGAACACUUCCUUCUGCAUCACAGGACCUUAGGAGCAUUGCAUUGCAUCUAAAUAUGCAAAAUGUAAGUAAGUAUAUCAUUGCAUUUCCACUUACCUUUCCUAUCUGACUCAAUAAGUAGUACAAUGAGAAAUGGAAAUUAUGGUUAAUGUUAUUUCCUUAGCAUUAAGGAAUUCUACUUGCAUUCCUAGGAGAUGUUAGAACACUGCAUGGGAAGGGUGAAGCAAUUCCUGGAUAAAGAGCCAGCAGUAAAGUUGUAAUGAGACAAAUUUUUAAGGCAGGGCUGUUUUACCAAAGUUGAAAUGAGUUUUACACAGUGGUUGGUAGGGAAAUAUAGCAGUAUUGCCGUGAAAGAUACUCCAUCUUUUCAUGGAGAAGGCAAAAUAGUUUAAAUCAGCACCAUUUUCCAAUUUAAGCAGAGGAAAACAGCCCAAAGAGAUGACAAGUGGGUUACCAUUCCCACAAACAUUACAUGUAGUGACCAUCUCGUGCCAGCAUUUGGUGCUCUGUGACAGAUAUCAUCAUCUAAGUGGUCCAUCAUCACACUACGUUGCAAGAACCACCCUGCAAAAGUAGCAAUUUCUCACAUUAGUUUUAGAAACAUGUUAAUAUUGAUAGUAUUUCAAAUGAAGCACCACUGAUAAGGAGUCACAUGUACAGGUUGUUGUCAGAAAUUCCCAUUUCCUAAGUUCAUUCCCUUGAGAUAUACUUGAAGUUUUGCCUUUUGACUCUGUCAAACUUCAGAAGUUUUAUGGCAAAAUUGCUUCUUUGGAUGGUUUCACUGUUAACACAGCAGAAAAGCAACAAAAUGUUUGGGGUAUCCAAAAGAUCAGGCAAGUAUUUCACUGAGUGUACAACAAAAUAUUAUGAGGUAAUUUUAUUUUUUUUUUCUGGUUUUAGGUAAAAAUAUGACAGUAUACAAGAUAAUCUUAUUAAAGGUAAAAAUACAGUAUUCUGCUUUUUCUCUAAACAGAUCUACGUACAGUACACUUUUUUAUUUUGUCUUUUUUUUUUCUCAACGUUUUUGUACAAAUAUAACUAUGAUUCUAUUAGGCUAUCUGUGUUCUCAUCUGGCACUUAAGAACUGAUCACGGGUCACCUUCUGCUUCUGCUUGUUUUUCUCAGCUGAUACCUAAACGCAAUGGUCAUCUCGUAGGUGUACCUUGUGAACAAACAGUACAGUUCAGCGGUUCCCAAGUUGUAAGGUGUGCUUUAAAUAUUGAAAUCAUGUAGCUAAACGUAGAAACCCAAGCAAUCCAAGUCUUCAGUUACUUUGCAUCGACUCGUUGCUUACCCUUUGUAAAAGUGCAGUCUGAGUGUUUGUAUUACAACCUUGGAAGUGGUUUUAAUACCUUCCAGGUUCUCCAGAAGAGCCAAACACAUAACUCAGAACAAUCAUCUCUUCAACAAUUCAUUCUUCUUUUUAUUUUUUAUUUGUCCUCAUUGGAAAUGAAGCCUUUUCCUACGGUUUCAAAGAUUUGAAACUCCUGGGGUGUGUUUUUCAUAGUUUACCUCAUGCUAUGGCUUGCUGUUUGAACUCUGGAACCCAAAAGCAGAGCAGCUGAGUUGAGUUGCUGUCAUCAAUUAGUGCUGUUCCUUGUCCUGAACACAUAAGCACAAAAUAUGUUACUUCUGCUGUGGAUUUUCACUGAAUAUUUCUUUACGCUGCUGUUGUAGCUGGGAUCAUCUAUGGACAAAAGAGAGGUUUGGUACGUGUUUGAAGGGACCAUAGCUGGUAGUGGGUUGGCUAAAACAGCUGGAAAAGGCAGAGAGGAGUUUUUGGCUUGGAAUCCCUUUAUCAGGUUCCAGCGAAGGGAUGAAGGACCCUUUACCCAACAAGCUUGGUUCAUGGUUCCAACUCUCUCAUCGUCAUGAAAAGUAUCUGACAAUUGGCCUUUCAGCAGAUGAUUUCUCAUAUGGUUUUCAUUAACCACGUGCUGUUCAAAGUUACCUCUGUGGAUGCCCACGUAAACACAAAAGGAGAGUGCACACCCAAGGACAGGAUUCUUUUAAAUUCUCAAGGAAUAUACUUGGCACGUUAUUCCUUCAGCCUUCACCAACUCCUGGUCAGUACAGAGUUAAGGUAAAUGAGCACAGUUCGCUGCAGACAUGUGGAUGAAGAUCUGGCUUUUUUGCCUUUAACUAAAAGGUGCGUUCCCUACAGUUCAUUUAUUUCUGAUGUUGAAGGGCUUAUGCUUUUACCGGUAAGUUAUUUUGUGUCAUAAAAGAUUUAACUGGAAAUUCACCAAACACAGGAGUAAUGCAAAGUGCUCCAACUGACACCUGCCAAUUCAUAGAAGAUGAGUGCCUGGUCCCCAUUUUUUGC
Meleagris gallopavo (turkey) is the source of this 5110-nucleotide non-coding RNA. The record is from RefSeq and is a predicted model, not a curated record. NCBI's taxonomy places the organism in Eukaryota, Metazoa, Chordata, Aves, Galliformes, Phasianidae.